This 336-nucleotide unclassified non-coding RNA is filed under the name uncultured Diversisporaceae. RNAcentral describes it as "sequence contains 18S rRNA gene". Lineage: Eukaryota; Fungi; Glomeromycota; Glomeromycetes; Diversisporales. The record is from RNAcentral.
CCCAACUAUCCCUAUUAAUCAUUACGGUGAUCCUAGAAACCAACAAAAUAGAACCAGUCCGUCCUAUUUCAUUAUUCCAUGCUAAUGUAUUCAGACGAUAGCCUGCUUUAAACACUCUAAUUUUUUCAAAGUAACAGUCCUGAUUUCCCAUCACACCAACUAAAUGGCAUGAAAGUUCCUCAGAAGGUAGAGAUUCAUCUCACCGGUACAGACAGUUAAGCCUGACCAAUGGGUGAACCCCGAAGUUCAACUACGAGCUUUUUAACUGCAACAACUUUAAUAUACGCUAUUGGAGCUGGAAUUACCGCGGCUGCUGGCACCAGACUUGCCCUCCAA